GACAGCAGCAGCCGCGGGAAUACGAAGGGUGCAAGCGUUAAUCGGAAUUACUGGGCGUAAAGCGCGCGUAGGUGGUUCAUUAAGUUGGAUGUGAAAGCCCUGGGCUCAGCCUGGGAACUGCAUCCAAAACUGGUGAGCUAGAGUACGGUAGAGGGUAGUGGAAUUUCCUGUGUAGCGGUGAAAUGCGUAGAUAUAGGAAGGAACACCAGUGGCGAAGGCGACUACCUGGACUGAUACUGACACUGAGGUGCGAAAGCGUGGGGAGCAAACAGGAUUAGAUACCCCUGUAGUCCCUGUCUCUUAUAC
This 306-nucleotide ribosomal RNA is filed under the name uncultured bacterium. Its description in RNAcentral is "partial 16S ribosomal RNA". It matches the Rfam family "Bacterial small subunit ribosomal RNA", at positions 507 to 807 of the family's 1533-position model. The record is from RNAcentral.